This 458-nucleotide ribosomal RNA is filed under the name Ceratosoma cf. tenue RFJ-2012. RNAcentral describes it as "partial 16S ribosomal RNA". It matches the Rfam family "Bacterial large subunit ribosomal RNA", at positions 1829 to 2597 of the family's 2925-position model. The record is from RNAcentral. Lineage: Eukaryota; Metazoa; Mollusca; Gastropoda; Nudibranchia; Chromodorididae.
AGUCUCAGGAAGAUAUCUGAGGUUAGACCUGCCCAGUGUGUAAUCUAUUAACGGCCGCGGUACUUUGACCGUGCUAAGGUAGCGUAAUCAAUUGGCUCUUAAAUGGGGUCAGGAAUGAAUGGAGUUACGUGGUUCGGCUGUCUCCUAACUAAUAAAUUGAAAUUACUAUGUAGGUGAAAAAGCCUUCAUUCGGAAAAAAGACGAGAAGACCCUUAGAGUUUUUCUUAAUUUAAUAAUUCUUUAAUAGUUAUAUUAUUAAUUAGUUUUGUUGGGGCAACAUAGGAGCAAAUAAUAAGCAUAAUCUCCUAAAAUAAUACCCACCGAUAAUUUUAAAGUUGUAUAAACUACCUUAGGGAUAACAGCAUAAUGUAAUAAAUAAGUUUGUGACCUCGAUGUUGGACUAGGAAACUAAAAGGCUAGCCGUCUUUUGGGAAAGUUUUGUUCAAACUAAUAUUCCU